GGGUCAGUAGGUUGGUCGUGCCCCCGGUACGUACUGGUCUCACUGAUUCCUCCUUCCUGAAGAACCGUAAUGCCAUUAAUUUGGUGUUGCGGGGAAACAGGACUGUUACUUUGAAAAAAUUAGAGUGUUUAAAGCAAGCUAACGCUUGAAUACAUUAGCAUGGAAUAAUGGAAUAGGACGAUCGAUCCUAUUUUGCUGGUUUCUAGGAUUGACGUA
RNAcentral lists this ribosomal RNA (216 nucleotides) under Glomeromycotina sp. Its description in RNAcentral is "partial small subunit ribosomal RNA". The stretch from base 40 to 216 matches the Rfam family "Eukaryotic small subunit ribosomal RNA", at positions 686 to 864 of the family's 1831-position model. The record is from RNAcentral. Lineage: Eukaryota; Fungi; Glomeromycota.